UGUCCGUCCGACGGGUGACGAGGGUGACCCCAGACGAGGCGGCUUAAUUGGGAUGGGAACUGACUGGUGAGGCUUAAUCGUCGACCAAUGGGUCGAAUCUGCAUAAGGAAGGCAACCAGCACACACUCGCAGGCGGGUCGUGGAAACAUCUUUUUGUUUUUUCUCUUGGUCUGCCCCGCGUCGAAUUUUGAAGGCAGAAAAUGUCGGUAGGAGGCGAGCAUAUCCAGGCCUAACUUAAACCUGUUAAAAGACAACCCGGGUUCGCAGCGCGAUUUUAAAAAACAAGAUUGAAGAAGUCAGAAAUUUUAUCUACAUGCUGCAUAUGAUCAGUCCCAAAAAAUUUCGGAUUGUUCCAGGUACCGUCGAAUACCUGGACAACGUGUUUAUUGUCAACUCUACAGGAUCGACCGAGGUCCAUGGAGUUGGGGGCAUUCGAUGUGCCCCAUAGCAGUGAGACGCCACUGUUUUUUUCGCCGUAUAAUUAUUAUGGUGGGACUGAAAAUGAACUUAAGCAAGAUAUGAUGGUGAUACAGUAUGGCUUGGAGAACUUCAAAAGUCGGUUCGCGUCGUGGUUCCAAAGCAGUAACUUUAGGUUCCCUACAUUUACAGAAUGUUGCAUUAAGUACUCAUUUUUUAAUUUGCAAUUUUUAUAUUUCAUUUUUACUUUUUUUCUUACUCUAUACAAGGCUUUAAUAUAAAGUUUUUUUAGCAAU
Long non-coding RNA from Sitophilus oryzae (rice weevil), 713 nucleotides. RefSeq lists it as uncharacterized. The record is from RefSeq and is a predicted model, not a curated record. NCBI's taxonomy places the organism in Eukaryota, Metazoa, Arthropoda, Insecta, Coleoptera, Curculionidae. The transcript is spliced from 3 exons.